UGUGUGUGUGUGUGUGUGUGUGUGUGUGUGUGUGCGCACGCGCGCGUGCACGCAUGCACGCACACACAUGCCUUUUCUCAG
This 81-nucleotide microRNA precursor is filed under the name Sorex araneus (European shrew). Its description in RNAcentral is "miRNA (ENSSARG00000016870.1)". The record is from RNAcentral. Lineage: Eukaryota; Metazoa; Chordata; Mammalia; Eulipotyphla; Soricidae.